RNAcentral lists this ribosomal RNA (479 nucleotides) under uncultured bacterium. RNAcentral describes it as "partial 16S ribosomal RNA". It matches the Rfam family "Bacterial small subunit ribosomal RNA", at positions 28 to 523 of the family's 1533-position model. The record is from RNAcentral.
GACGAACGCUGGCGGCGUGCUUAACACAUGCAAGUCGAGCGAUGGAGCACCUUCGGGUGUGAAUUAGCGGCGAACGGGUGAGGAACACGUGAAGAAUCUGCCUUCAACUCUGGGAUAACUCCGGGAAACCGGGGCUAAUACCGGAUAUGAGCCUUGAUCGCAUGAUCGGGGCUGGAAAGUUUUUCGGUUGAAGAUGACUUCGCGGCCUAUCAGCUUGUUGGUGAGGUAAUGGCUCACCAAGGCGACGACGGGUAGCCGGCCUGAGAGGGCGACCGGCCACACUGGGACUGAGGCACGGCCCAGACUCCUACGGGAGGCAGCAGUGGGGAAGAUUGGGCAAUGGAGGAAACUCUGACCCAGCGACGCCGCGUGAGGGAUGAAGGCCUUCGGGUUGUAAACCUCUUUCAGUAGGGAAGAAGCGAAAGUGACGGUACCUACAGAAGAAGCACCGGCUAACUAUGUGCCAGCAGCAGCCGCGG